RNAcentral lists this ribosomal RNA (274 nucleotides) under uncultured bacterium. RNAcentral's name for it is "partial 16S ribosomal RNA". It matches the Rfam family "Bacterial small subunit ribosomal RNA", at positions 523 to 796 of the family's 1533-position model. The record is from RNAcentral.
AUACGGAGGGUGCAAGCGUUAAUCGGAAUUACUGGGCGUAAAGCGUACGUAGGCGGUCCGUUAAGUUAGAUGUGAAAGCCCCGGGCUUAACCUGGGAACUGCAUUUAAAACUGGCGGACUAGAGUUGAGUAGAGGGGAGUGGAAUUUCAGGUGUAGCGGUGAAAUGCGUAGAGAUCGGAAGGAACACCAGUGGUGAAGGCGACUCCCUGGACUCGAACUGACGCUGAGGUACGAAAGCGUGGGUAGCAAACGGGAUUAGAAACCCGGGUAGUCC